Molecule: ribosomal RNA, 221 nt
Filed under: uncultured eukaryote
Lineage: Eukaryota
Description: partial Archaeal small subunit ribosomal RNA
Rfam family: Bacterial small subunit ribosomal RNA
Source: RNAcentral
CUUGAGACAGGUGCUGCAUGGCUGUCGUCAGCUCGUGUCGUGAGAUGUUCGGUUAAGUCCGGCAACGAGCGCAACCCACACUUUCAGUUGCCAGCAUUCAGUUGGGCACUCUGGAAGAACUGCCGAUGAUAAGUCGGAGGAAGGUGUGGAUGACGUCAAGUCCUCAUGGCCCUUACGGGUUGGGCUACACACGUGCUACAAUGGUGGUGACAGUGGGCUGC